Molecule: long non-coding RNA, 906 nt
Organism: Apis florea (little honeybee)
Lineage: Eukaryota; Metazoa; Arthropoda; Insecta; Hymenoptera; Apidae
Source: RefSeq, a predicted model, not a curated record
GGCCAUCUGUAACGUUGAGUCGGUAAUAAAUAUUGUUUUUAAGUUAAUCGAAUCGAAUAAAAAUUCGAUCGAAUCAAGUUUAAAAAAAUUCUUACCACGCUUGCUUGCAUAUUAAUAUUAUCAUAGAAUUUUUCAUUGUCUACGAUCAUGCAUAAAAAUAAUUAUGCAUAAAAAUAAUAUGUUAAACUCUACACCGUUUACGAAUUUUUCAAAUUUAAAAUCUACUAUUACCAGGAAAUUGUCUACAAACAUUCAACUAGAACAAAGGGAUCUAUCUCCACGAUUUAAAAAGGAAGGGGUACCAAUAUUUUCAAUCUACAAACAAAAUAUCGAAAAACUACACAAAUUUCUACUCGCUACAAAAAAAAAAAAAAAAAAGAAGAAAAAGAAAAUUCUCGAGGAAAAUCUGAUCGAUCCUACAACAAACAAUGCUCAAAACAACAACGAGGGAAGAAAAUUUAUUCUAAAAGUUUUCUCAAUUGUUCAAAUUUCCAUCAUCCUCAAAUCGAUCAUAUAAAUAGCUCCACAGCGCAAUGCCUAAGCGAAACCAAAGCCAAAUCGAAUUUCUUUUUUUUUUUCCAGUAUAAUCGAAUUUUUCACCGCAAUGCAAAGAAAUUUUAUCGGUAAUGUUAACCUUUAACCCCUUCUGGAUCAUAGCGCAAAAAAGAAAACUAAGCGAACUCGUUGGUCAACAAGGAGGUUAAUGAACCAUCAAACUUACCACACAGGUUUCCACAUCGAACAUUAUCGCGUUUCGCGUGUACACAGAUGGGUAAAUAGCGCAUAAAAAUCUGCAGUCUGAAAAUCUGUCGUCAGAAUUUAAGACUGACCGCGUAGAUAGGGUAUAUCUCCAGAUCGUUCCAAAUUAAUUUGUGCCUCGAGGAAGAGAGCAUCGAAACGAUUGAG